GACGAACGCUGGCGGCGUGCUUAACACAUGCAAGUCGGACGGUAAGGCCCUUCGGGGUACACGAGUGGCGAACGGGUGAGUAACACGUGGGUGAUCUGCCCUGCACUUCGGGAUAAGCCUGGGAAACUGGGUCUAAUACCGGAUAGGACCACUGCCUGCAUGGGUGGUGGUGGAAAGCUUUUGCGGUGUGGGAUGGGCCCGCGGCCUAUCAGCUUGUGGGUGGGGUGAUGGCCUACCAAGGCGACGACGGGUAGCCGGCCUGAGAGGGUGACCGGCCACACUGGGACUGAGAUACGGCCCAGACUCCUACGGGAGGCAGCAGUGGGGAAUAUUGCACAAUGGGCGAAAGCCUGAUGCAGCGACGCCGCGUGAGGGAUGACGGCCUUCGGGUUGUAAACCUCUUUCAGCUAUGACGAAGCGCAAGUGACGGUAGUAGCAGAAGAAGGACCGGCCAACUACGUGCCAGCCGCCGCAGUAA
This 478-nucleotide ribosomal RNA is filed under the name uncultured bacterium. RNAcentral describes it as "partial 16S ribosomal RNA". It matches the Rfam family "Bacterial small subunit ribosomal RNA", at positions 28 to 523 of the family's 1533-position model. The record is from RNAcentral.